AUCAAGAAAAAUGUUUUGGUUCUUGAAAGAUUUGGUUUUACUUUUACCUGAGAUCUAGCAAAGUCUAGAAGUGCUUGAGGUUGAACCGAACCAUCAUGACAGUUGAGUCUAGCGUUCCCUGCAGAGAGAUAGUCAGAAUAAACCGCAAGAAGAAACGCAGCCGCAGAUGCAUAUUGCAGAUUGUUCCACUCUCUAACAUACAUCAAACCACCUGUAAUCAUCACCAUUAAAAUGGGAUCACUAACUAUUGUUGCACUAUUAGGUUAUCAAUGGUGGCAUAAGAAGCAUCGAAGGCAAGACCUUGACGUUUGAAAAUGGACUGAGACAAGAUUUUGAUGUCAUUGUGUUUGCGACUGGUUACAAAAGCUCUGUAUGCAAUUGGUUAAAGAACUAUGAGUACGUGAUGCGGGAUGAUGGCUUCCCCAAAAAUCCAAUGCCAGAUCAUUGGAAAGGAGAGAAAAAUAUUUAUUGUGCUGGAUUUUCAAGGAAGGGAAUCGCUGGAGCCGCUCAAGAUGCGAUGUCUGUCGCCCAAGACAUCAAAUCUAUUUUGGAAACGGCCAGAUACUAAGGAAUUCUCAAAACAACCAACAGAAAGAUUGGAUUACAAUAUACACUUAUACUAGGUGAAUCACCGUAUGUAUACGCAUAAAUUAAUAUUUAGUAAAACAAUAAUUUGUAAUAGUUAUUAAUAUUUAUUUUGUUUUUGUUUUAUAUUUUAUAUUAUGUUAA
This is a long non-coding RNA of Brassica napus (rape), 729 nucleotides long. RefSeq lists it as uncharacterized. The record is from RefSeq and is a predicted model, not a curated record. NCBI's taxonomy places the organism in Eukaryota, Viridiplantae, Streptophyta, Magnoliopsida, Brassicales, Brassicaceae. The transcript is spliced from 2 exons.